This 497-nucleotide ribosomal RNA is filed under the name uncultured bacterium. RNAcentral describes it as "partial 16S ribosomal RNA". It matches the Rfam family "Bacterial small subunit ribosomal RNA", at positions 28 to 507 of the family's 1533-position model. The record is from RNAcentral.
GAUGAACGCUGGCGGCGUGCCUAAUACAUGCAAGUCGAGCGAACAGACGAGGAGCUUGCUCCUCUGACGUUAGCGGCGGACGGGUGAGUAACACGUGGAUAACCUACCUAUAAGACUGGGAUAACUUCGGGAAACCGGAGCUAAUACCGGAUAACAUGUUGAACCGCAUGGUUCAACAGUGAAAGACGGUCUUGCUGUCACUUAUAGAUGGAUCCGCGCCGCAUUAGCUAGUUGGUAAGGUAACGGCUUACCAAGGCAACGAUGCGUAGCCGACCUGAGAGGGUGAUCGGCCACACUGGAACUGAGACACGGUCCAGACUCCUACGGGAGGCAGCAGUAGGGAAUCUUCCGCAAUGGGCGAAAGCCUGACGGAGCAACGCCGCGUGAGUGAAGAAGGUCUUCGGAUCGUAAAACUCUGUUAUGAGGGAAGAACAAAUGUGUAAGUAACUAUGCACGUCUUGACGGUACCUAAUCAGAAAGCCACGGCUAACUACGUG